This is a non-coding RNA of Arachis ipaensis, 664 nucleotides long. The record is from RefSeq and is a predicted model, not a curated record. Lineage: Eukaryota; Viridiplantae; Streptophyta; Magnoliopsida; Fabales; Fabaceae.
GGGAAAAACUAUGCUAUAGUGAUCUCCCCAACUGACUUGACACUGCUGCCUCUUACUAUGUCAUGAAAAGAAUUAAAUCCCUUGAUCAUAAAGAUGCCAUUCAAAGGACAGUUAUUGCAUCAAUCCAUCAGCCUAGUGCUGAAGUUUUUCAAUUCUUUGAUAAUCUCUGUUUGUUCUCUGCUGGCAAAACAGUUUACAUUGGACUUGCUUCUGCUGCAAUUCAGGUUAAUAUACAACUAAGAACCAACUAACUAACUAGUUCAUAUUUUCAAUGCCCAUCAUUUCUAUAAUACUAUCAUAAGAACAUCAUCUUGUAUGUAGUUUUUCGCUUCCAAUGGUUUUCCUUGUCCUGCUCUUCAAAACCCCUCAGAUCAUAUUCUAAAAAGUAUAAACAAGGACUUCGAUCAGUUGAAGAAACUCAAGUGCCUCUUCUCUUGGACCUUCAAGUUGAAGAUGCAAAAUAUGUGUUUGAGUCAAAGACUAUUCAGAGAAUGGAGCUUCUGAUUCUGUCCACCUUGAAUUGGAAGAUGCACCCUAUGACCCCACUCUCAGCGAUUGAAGAAUAGGUGGAUUUGACACAGCACAUGCUGUAGCUAGGUAAUUUUGUUAUCGGUUCUUUUUUUUUCUUUUUGGCUAAUGAAAAAUAUUUCAUGGAUUUGAAUUU